AGAUUUUGGAGGAAACGAAAAUUGAACUUGGACAACCGUAAAAGGCCAAAAAGGUACCGAAGUUUGACUUGCUGAUCCGCCGGUUUAGGACAUCUGCUGUGUUAUUGAAAGUGCUCCUUUGUUCGGAGCUUGUAUUUUGGUACUGACUCUAUCUCUGUAUAUUUGGAUAUGUUGGUCAGGGGUACGACGGGGCCCUGUCCCGUCUUAUGACUAUGCUAUCAUCUGUAGAGGUCUGUAGACAGAGUUAUGUUGUGGGUUUUGUAUAUAUGGUUUGGAUUUUUGUGUGUUUUGUGACAACCUUUCAACUCUCGUGCGUAUAUCUACUUUUAUGAUAUAUUUAGCAAUUUCUACUAA
This is a long non-coding RNA of Solanum dulcamara, 354 nucleotides long. RefSeq lists it as uncharacterized. The transcript has 2 exons. The record is from RefSeq and is a predicted model, not a curated record. NCBI's taxonomy places the organism in Eukaryota, Viridiplantae, Streptophyta, Magnoliopsida, Solanales, Solanaceae.